GUGAGAAGCUGGAUGGAAAAAUUAAAAGACAAGGCUGGUUACAUGUCUGGGAUGCUGGUGCCUGUAGGGGUUGGGAUAGCUGGAGCCUUGUUCAUCUUGGGAGCCCUCUACAGCAUUAAGGUUAUGAAUCGCCGAAGGAGAAAUGGUUUCAAAAGGCAUAAAAGAAAGCAGAGAGAAUUCAACAGCAUGCAAGAUCGAGUAAUGCUCUUAGCCGACAGCUCUGAAGAUGAAUUUUGAAUUGGACUGGGUUUUAAUUGGGAUAUUCAACGAUGCUACUAUUCUAAUUUUUAUUUUGGAGCAGAAAAAAAAAAGAACAACAACCUGCC
Molecule: long non-coding RNA, 326 nt
Filed under: Rhinopithecus roxellana (golden snub-nosed monkey)
Lineage: Eukaryota; Metazoa; Chordata; Mammalia; Primates; Cercopithecidae
Description: lncRNA (ENSRROG00000045868.1)
Source: RNAcentral